UUGUGCCCUUGAGGCGUGGCUUCCGGAGCUAACGCGUUAAAUCGACCGCCUGGGGAGUACGGCCGCAAGGUUAAAACUCAAAUGAAUUGACGGGGGCCCGCACAAGCGGUGGAGCAUGUGGUUUAAUUCGAUGCAACGCGAAGAACCUUACCUACUCUUGACAUCCAGAGAACUUUCCAGAGAUGGAUUGGUGCCUUCGGGAACUCUGAGACAGGUGCUGCAUGGCUGUCGUCAGCUCGUGUUGUGAAAUGUUGGGUUAAGUCCCGCAACGAGCGCAACCCUUAUCCUUUGUUGCCAGCGGUUCGGCCGGGAACUCAAAGGAGACUGCCAGUGAUAAACUGGAGGAAGGUGGGGAUGACGUCAAGUCAUCAUGGCCCUUACGAGUAGGGCUACACACGUGCUACAAUGGCAUAUACAAAGAGAAGCGACCUCGCGAGAGCAAGCGGACCUCAUAAAGUAUGUCGUAGUCCGGAUUGGAGUCUGCAACUCGACUCCAUGAAGUCGGAAUCGCUAGUAAUCGUAGAUCAGAAUGCUACGGUGAAUACGUUCCCGGGCCUUGUACACACCGCCCGUCACACCAUGGGAGUGGGUUGCAAAAGAAGUAGGUAGCUUAACCUUCGGGAGGGCGCUUACCACUUUGUGAUUCAUGACUGGGGUGAAGUCGUAACAGGGUAAC
This 676-nucleotide ribosomal RNA is filed under the name uncultured Serratia sp. RNAcentral's name for it is "bacterial SSU rRNA". It matches the Rfam family "Bacterial small subunit ribosomal RNA", at positions 824 to 1500 of the family's 1533-position model. Lineage: Bacteria; Pseudomonadati; Pseudomonadota; Gammaproteobacteria; Enterobacterales; Yersiniaceae. The record is from RNAcentral.